CAUUCAUGUCAUAAACAACAGUUUUCCUUUUAUUUUUCAAUCUCUUCAAAAUAAAAUCGAAGCGGGUGAUUAGUUUGAACAACCCGGUGCUAAUAUCUAAGAAUUAAAACAGAAGUGAGAUCAUAAAAUUUGUGGUUAAAAAAGCAAUAGAUCUAUACGAAUAAGGUCACAUGCAAUGACGCUGGCUGAAGUUAAGACUAUUUCUACUCUAAACAUGAUAUUGUUCGUUCUAAUGAUAUUGUUUUUCUGUGGGAUUUACAUUUGGUGCAAGAAGCGAAAACCGUAUCAAUUAAUUCUUCAUAACGUACACGAAUCACAAAUUAUGAAUAAUAUUUCUGAUAAAGCUAAAGUACAAACAAUUCUUCGAGAAUUAACUAAUCUUAACUUAAAUAAUAUAGAGGUAAAGAGAAUUGGAACAUCGUCUGAAAAUGUUCGACCAAUUGUUGUUGCGUUCGAUUCUAUGCAUUAUGUUCGAGAGAUUUUAAAUAAUCGUCAGUUUCUUAGAUAUACAAUGUAUAAUAAGAUUAAUGUGUGCCCAUAUAAAAAGAAUAGCAUUCUUUCAUUAAAACUUGGUUUUUAUUAUUUUCUUUUAACUUGUAUUAUUUUAUUUUUUGUUUAUGCUUAUAGAGAAAUGUGACGUAAACGUAUUUUUGAUAACGAUUUUCUUAGAAGAAUUUAAAACAAUUGCUUUACUAAAAAUGUUUUAGACAAUAAUGUACUUUUAAUAUUGUUUUGAAAUAUUAUAGAGAGUAUUGAUAAUAAAGAGUUUUUACAUCUAGUCAA
This is a non-coding RNA of Onthophagus taurus, 783 nucleotides long. Lineage: Eukaryota; Metazoa; Arthropoda; Insecta; Coleoptera; Scarabaeidae. The record is from RefSeq and is a predicted model, not a curated record.